GCAUGGUAAUGGAUUUAUGGCAGGUCUUCCUCUGUGGGCCUCUCAUAGUGUACCCAUGCCAGAGAAAACAGCCUCGAACCAUUGCCCAGUCUCUACCUGUGGGCUGUGAGCACUGAAAGCGGCUGUACAGUG
Molecule: small nucleolar RNA, 132 nt
Filed under: Moschus moschiferus (Siberian musk deer)
Lineage: Eukaryota; Metazoa; Chordata; Mammalia; Artiodactyla; Moschidae
Description: Small nucleolar RNA SNORA42/SNORA80 family (ENSMMSG00000004767.1)
Rfam family: Small nucleolar RNA SNORA42/SNORA80 family
About the family: The members of this family belong to the H/ACA class of snoRNAs that guide the sites of modification of uridines to pseudouridines. Human ACA42 (SNORA42) was cloned from HeLa cells by immunoprecipitation with anti-GAR1 antibody.
Source: Rfam by way of RNAcentral